Molecule: transfer RNA, 76 nt
Filed under: Gammaproteobacteria bacterium
Lineage: Bacteria; Pseudomonadati; Pseudomonadota; Gammaproteobacteria
Description: tRNA-Lys
Rfam family: tRNA
About the family: Transfer RNA (tRNA) molecules are approximately 80 nucleotides in length.
Source: RNAcentral
GGGCCGUUAGCUCAGUUGGUAGAGCACCGGACUUUUAAUCCGUGUGUCGUAGGUUCGAUUCCUACACGGCCCACCA